UGACUAUGUGAAUCUCACAAAGAACAAGGAUGGGAGUCACGGCUCUAAAAGUAAUGCUGUACGGGAAAUAUGACAUCCAAAGACACGUGGCAGGCACAGGCAAAAUGCCAGUGACGAUGCAGAGCAGUCACCCUGAUCCCACCAGCUGCCUUGUUGAAGAGGAGAUGCCAGACAAUGGAACAUCCACUCCUACGAGAGAGUCUGAAAGACUAAGGUGUGUUGGAGUUGCUGGCUACGUUGCUGAAAAAUAAUACCAUGAACAUCAACCAAGAACUAGACAGCAAUUCCGCAAUGCUUGGGGUCCAGCAACAGCACAAAGGAGCGAAGGAUGGAAACCCCCAAAGCUCCUACUUCAGAGGACAUUCCCACCAUGUAGCAAGUGAGUCACAGUGAAGCAAAAGCCAUCUGUUCAUCUGGACACAGAUACCGCUUGUCAGUUAGCAGGAAACGUUUCCACUGAAGAAUCUCUCUGCAAUGUUAAUCUCCCUGCGUAGACAAACUUCCAGGGUUUCAGGUCUUCUAGCCUGUAAAGUGGGAAUGCUGCAGCUUCCUUUCACCCUGCUUUGUCUGUCUUAUCUUUUUUGAAAACAGGCUUGGUCAGGCAAGCGCUUGCCUGUGUGGAUGUACGUAUCUUUACAGCUCGGCUAGUACCAAGAGGUCUCCAAGUCAACUCAUGAGUCCAGCAGUUCUCAUCGAAGCAUGAUUCUCACUCAGACGCAGUGACACAGAGGACCAGCGGCAGUGAGGCAGCAGCACCUUCCCACUCCUCCUCUCCAUUCCCACCGCCACGGGACUGAGCCAAGCUGGGACCCCUCUUAAUCCUGGGAAAUUGCCAUGUUACAUCCUUCCCCCCUAGAGACAUCCCUGCCAUCAGCUAUUGAUGAAACUGGGAAAUGCAGUCAUAAUUAAUAUGUUGUAUUUUGAAAUAGUGGCGGAAAUACUCUCUGUAAAGACAGCGAUCAGCCCUAAUUAAAGUCAUGUUUAACUAAUCUUUUUGGGAUGGGGACUGUUAUUUAAUGUGUGUUCUUGCUACAUGUAGCCCAAUGGGAUUCAGUAUUGCUGUUGCACUAGGUGUCAUCACAAUAUAAACAAUGAAUAACUACAGAAAUAUAAAUUUGGGGCUUUUUUCCUAGUACAACUGCUUCUGUAUGAACCGCAUUUCUAUUUGCUUGACUAUUGCAUAGUUUGGGUUAUCACUGUCUAAAUGUUUAGCAACUCCUAUGUGCAGGAUGAGUAGUUAAUUCUUUUCAUGUGUGUAAUGUUUUGGAUCAAAUUAUUUCCACAUUCAUUUUGGUGGAUUAGGUUUCAGGUGGACAAGACCCAAAAAAUCAGAUAAGUUCUUAAAGACCCUGCUGUACCGAAGACAUUCUUAACAAUGGCAUUUCGAAAGAAUGAGAAAGCACUUCUUCUAUUAAAAUUAGAUUUACAACAAUUAUCUCAAAGGGCCAUCAGCAUUCUAGAAAAGUGUGAUUUCAUACUAAAUCAGAUGAUACCAAAAAGAUCAGCUGGUUAAAAAUUUUCUACAUCAAGUUCAAACAACAAGGCAAUGUAUUUGUUUCAAAGAACACAUUUGAUUUCUCUGAAAUCUGUGAUUUCCAAAUGAAUGCCAAGUGAGGUUUAAAAAAAUCCCCACAUGAAUAAAUUUCAUAAACUGCAAGAGAAUGGCA
Molecule: long non-coding RNA, 1667 nt
Filed under: Calidris pugnax (ruff)
Lineage: Eukaryota; Metazoa; Chordata; Aves; Charadriiformes; Scolopacidae
Description: lncRNA (ENSCPUG00000019232.1)
Source: RNAcentral